ACGUGCCGAUUUGAUCGGGAUACUCAUCAAUUUAAUUACAGAAACCGAGAACGCUUCUUUUGUCAAUGGCGGGCCAUAUAAACUCGUAAGAGCUAAGCUGAAAAGCCGGUGGAUUACAAAGACGGAGAACACUCAAAUCCUAUAUACUCGGAGUUUCAUCACAUCAUCGGGCGUCCCCU
RNAcentral lists this small RNA (179 nucleotides) under uncultured Prevotella sp. Its description in RNAcentral is "Bacteroidales-1 6S-Bacteroidales RNA suggested". It matches the Rfam family "Bacteroidales-1 6S-Bacteroidales RNA suggested". The record is from RNAcentral. Lineage: Bacteria; Pseudomonadati; Bacteroidota; Bacteroidia; Bacteroidales; Prevotellaceae.